UUAAAAUUGUUGCAGUUAAAACGCUCGUAGUUGAAUUUCAAAGAAUCGAUAUUUUAAGUAACGCUUCUAGCUAUAAAUCCACAUAACUGAUGCCUCCGCGUAUCGACUUUGUGCGCAUUUUAGCUAUUAUGUGUUCUUUUAAUUAAAAUGAUUCUUUUUAAGAUUCAUCUAUUAAAAAUUUGCUUCGGCAUAAUUUUUUUUGAUGAUCUUGUUACUUUGAGUAAAUUAGAGUGUUCAAAGCAAACAGAUAUAGCAUUUGUGCGUUUGAAUACUACAGCAUGGAAUAACAAAAUUGAACAAGUCAGAAUUUUUUUGUUCUUUUUUCUCAUUUUGGCUUAGUUACGAUUAAUAGGAGUAGCUUGGGGGCAUUUGUAUUCAGAUGUCAGAGGUGAAAUUCUUAGAUUUUCUGGAGACAAACAACUGCGAAAGCAUUUGCCUAAAAUACUUCCAUUAAUCAAGAACGAAAGUUAAGGGAGUGAAGACGAUCAGAUACCGUCGUAAUCUUAACCAUAAACUAUGCCGACUAGGCUUUGGAUGAAAGAUUUUAAAAUAAGAGUUUUUCUUUUCUCUCCGGAGAUUAGAACUCUUAGAUUGCUUCCUUCAGUGCCUUAUGAGAAAUCAAAGUCUUUGGGUUCUGGGGCGAGUAUUCGCGCAAGCGAGAAAGUUAAAAGAAUUGACGGAAGGGCACCACCAGGCGUGGAGCUUGCGGCUUAAUUUGACUCAACACGGGAAAACUCACUAGUUUAAGACAAGAGUAGGAUUGACAGAUUAAUAGCUCUUUCUUGAUUUCUUGGAUGGUGAUGCAUGGCCGUUUUUAGUUCGUGAAUAUGAUUUGUCUGGUUAAUUCCGAUAACGAACGAGAUCUUAACCUGCUAAUUAGCGGCAAAUACGAUAUAUUCUUAUGUAGAAUUGAAUAUAGUGGAUUUGUUGGAUUUUGAAGAAAAUAUUGGAAUUACGUUUAAAUGUGAUUCCUUUCCCUUUUCUACUUAAUUUACAUUUCCAUCUAUUUCUUUUUUGCGUAUGAAUGUAUUUGCUUGAUUGUAAAGCUUCUUAGAGGAACGAUGUGUGUCUAACACAAGGAAGUUUAAGGCAACAACAGG
This 1100-nucleotide ribosomal RNA is filed under the name Plasmodium knowlesi. RNAcentral describes it as "SSU rRNA". It matches the Rfam family "Eukaryotic small subunit ribosomal RNA", at positions 604 to 1460 of the family's 1831-position model. The record is from RNAcentral. Lineage: Eukaryota; Apicomplexa; Aconoidasida; Haemosporida; Plasmodiidae.